This 460-nucleotide ribosomal RNA is filed under the name uncultured bacterium. RNAcentral describes it as "partial 16S ribosomal RNA". It matches the Rfam family "Bacterial small subunit ribosomal RNA", at positions 338 to 795 of the family's 1533-position model. The record is from RNAcentral.
CCUACGGGUGGCAGCAGUGAGGAAUAUUGGUCAAUGGACGAGAGUCUGAACCAGCCUAGUAGCGUGAAGGAUGACUGCCCUAUGGGUUGUAAACUUCUUUUAUAUGGGAAUAAAACGUUCCACGUGUGGGAUUUUGUAUGUACCAUAUGAAUAAGGAUCGGCUAACUCCGUGCCAGCAGCCGCGGUAAUACGGAGGAUCCGAGCGUUAUCCGGAUUUAUUGGGUUUAAAGGGAGCGUAGGUGGAUUGUUAAGUCAGUUGUGAAAGUUUGCGGCUCAACCGUAAAAUUGCAGUUGAAACUGGCAGUCUUGAGUACAGUAGAGGUGGGCGGAAUUCGUGGUGUAGCGGUGAAAUGCUUAGAUAUCACGAAGAACUCCGAUUGCGAAGGCAGUUCACUGGACUGCAACUGACACUGAGGCUCGAAAGUGUGGGUAUCAAACAGGAUUAGAUACCCCUGUAGUC